Long non-coding RNA from Oncorhynchus keta (chum salmon), 219 nucleotides. RefSeq lists it as uncharacterized. Lineage: Eukaryota; Metazoa; Chordata; Actinopteri; Salmoniformes; Salmonidae. The record is from RefSeq and is a predicted model, not a curated record. The transcript is spliced from 3 exons.
UCCAGGAAUGUAAUGAGACGCUCGGUGUUGUACGGCCCAACCCUUCCAUAGAGGUCGUCCAGGAAUGUAAUGAGACGCUCGGUGUUGUACGGCCCAACCCUUCCAUAGAGGUCGUCCAGGAAUGUAAUGAGACGCUCGGUGUUGUACGGCCCAACCCUUCCAUAGAGGUCGUCCAGGAAUGUAAUGAGACGCUCGGUGUUGUACGGCCCAACCCUUCCA